ACGGGGUGCAGCAGGCGCGAAAACUGGCCAAUGCGCGAAAGCGUGAGCCGGUCAAUCCGAGUGUAGACCCAUCGGUUUACUUUUAUUAUGUAUACAACGCAUGGUGAAUAACGAGAGGGCAAGACUGGUGCCAGCCGCCGCGGUAAAACCAGCUCUUGGAGUGGUGAUCAUGAUUAUUUGGCUUAAAGUGUGCGUAGCAGGACAGCGUAAGUCCCCUGUGAAAUGCUAGGUCUUAAGCUUAGCACGUGCAGGGGAUACUGCGCGUCUUGGGACCGGGAUAGGUGUAUUGUACGCGACGGGUAGGGGUGAAAUCCGAUAAUCCAUCGCGGACAACCGGUGGCGAAGGCGAUACACUGGAACGGGUCCGACUGUGAGGCACGAAAGCUAGGGUCGCGAGCCGGAUUAGAUACCCGGGUAGUCCUAUGCUGUAAACGAUGCUCAUUAAGUGUUAGGUAACGCAAGACGUUCCCUAGUGCCGAAGCGAAAGCGUUAAAUGAGCCGCCUGGGAAGUACGUUCGCAAGAAUGAAACUUAAAGGAAUUGGCGGGGGCCUACUACAAGAAGUGGAGCCUGCGGUUUAAUUGGACUCAACUCCGGGAAACUCACCUGGGCCGUAACGUGGAUGAUUGUCCUGCUGAAGACACUGCUUGAUGCGUUACUGGAGGUGCAUGGCCAUCGUCAGUUCGUGCCGUGAGGUGUCCUGUUAAGUCAG
Molecule: ribosomal RNA, 711 nt
Filed under: uncultured archaeon
Lineage: Archaea
Description: bacterial SSU rRNA
Rfam family: Archaeal small subunit ribosomal RNA
Source: RNAcentral